Molecule: long non-coding RNA, 382 nt
Filed under: Homo sapiens (human)
Lineage: Eukaryota; Metazoa; Chordata; Mammalia; Primates; Hominidae
Description: HSALNT0131951
Source: RNAcentral
CCUGGGUCUGCACACCGCGCACUUCCUCCUGCCACAGCUGCAUGGGUCAGGGGCUCCCGAAUGAGACAUCCUGUGUUGAUCGCAGCCGUCUCCCAGCAUGUGGAGCAACACUAGGACCGUGGUAGAUGUUCAGUCAUGUUCGCUGAAGGAAGAAGGGAGUGAAUGAAUGUCUUCUCUGAGGAUAGCUGAGCAUCCGUGCAUCCGUCUGGCCAUGAGAACUUGGUUGCGCUCACAUGAGGAUCCUGAGCAGAGUCGCAGUGCACGCUCUGCGGGGAGCCGGAAGCAGCAAGAGGCAAAUUGGCUAGAAAAAGAGUCAGCCUUGGGGAACUCGGGACACAGCCAACCCCAGGAAUGUGCCUUUGGGUCAGAGCCCAGCCCAGCU